Oryza sativa Japonica Group (Japanese rice) is the source of this 1105-nucleotide long non-coding RNA. RefSeq lists it as uncharacterized. Lineage: Eukaryota; Viridiplantae; Streptophyta; Magnoliopsida; Poales; Poaceae. The record is from RefSeq and is a predicted model, not a curated record.
ACCGGAGGAAGACGCGCGCAGCCUUGUUCCGUCGUGUGUGCCUGCAAUCCUGCAGGCUGCAGUUGGUUGCAUCGGCAGAGAAUUGCAUUGCCUGCAGACAUACUCCCUCCGUCCCAGAAAGAAAUCGGGGUGAGGAUUUGUCCCAGAAAAAACCGACUUCUGCGUAACACUCGAGAAAUAUUCAAUGAUCCUUAUCCCUGCCCGUCUCUCUCCUCUCGCCCACCACACAACCGCGCUAAAAAAAAAACCACCACCGCCCGGUCUCAUCUCCUCCCUCUCCUCACGACCUUCACUUAUCCCUCGACGGCGAUGAGUCAUUUCCCCUCCCUCCACGCUCCAUCCAUCUCUCCCUCCCUGCGACCUCCCGUGAUGUCAUGGAUACGACAGGUCGGCGGGGGCGGCGCCAGCCCCGGCGGAUUGAGAUGGCUCGGAUGAGGCACUAGCAGUACGGCGGCAGAGGUAGGGUCUUGCGAUUGUGAUGCAGGAGAAGGCGAACGCAACAUGUAGGUGCUGCUUGGCUACGACGGCGGAGGCGCAAGCCUAUGGUCUCCAGCGCCAGUGGAUCUGUUGCAGGGAGCCUGAUGCACAAGCUUUUGCAAUGGCGGAUCUGAUGAAGGAGCCAACGAUUUUGUGUCUCCCAGCGCUGAGGUGGUUCGAGAAGCUUUGCCAUUAGAAUAAACCCAAGGUCAAUCUGGAUAAAUACACACAUGACUACAGGCCACCUUGGUGGAUGCAAACACAUUUCUUUGUUCUUUCUAGUUCUUGCAGAUUAAUUCCUACUCCUUACAGAUUGUGGAGAAGUAUUUUUUAACAGAUUAUGGAUGCAAACCAUCUUGUAGAUUGUGGAGUAGUAUUUUUUUUGACGAUUUCUUUUUUCAGACUAGAGGUUCUUAAUUUUUUGUUAACAUAUUCAAUUUAAAACUUCAUUUUUUUUGCUGGAUACCUGUGUAAUUGAUGCGUGCAGAGAAUCCAGUUAAACCUUUUUUUUCAGUGAGGACAGUGCAGAGAACCCAGUACAAUCCUGUGUAAUGUUGUUGUUGAGGGCAUUUCGGUAUUUUCAUGGUUGUACUAAGUUUGCAUUGGGAAUCCAGGAGUUGAAUUAUCA